GAUCAAAACAUCUAUUGUGUAUGAUCCUAUAGGCUCUAUGCAAUCUGGUAGUGAGAUAUAUUGUGAUAUCUAUUACAAUAUCAUUGAAACUCUUUUUGAUGGAUUGGAAUGAUUUCGACUCUAUCCUUCGAGGUCAUCGAUCAUCAAGAUUACUUUCAAUGAGUCUCAUAAUCCAUCAGUAAUACCCAGCAGUAUGUAGUAGCAACCCAGC
Molecule: long non-coding RNA, 211 nt
Filed under: Elaeis guineensis (African oil palm)
Lineage: Eukaryota; Viridiplantae; Streptophyta; Magnoliopsida; Arecales; Arecaceae
Description: long non-coding RNA (EGUI_LNC070285)
Source: RNAcentral